Molecule: long non-coding RNA, 545 nt
Organism: Olea europaea var. sylvestris
Lineage: Eukaryota; Viridiplantae; Streptophyta; Magnoliopsida; Lamiales; Oleaceae
Exons: 2
Source: RefSeq, a predicted model, not a curated record
GGAAUAAGACAUUUGUGACAUGAUGUCAAAUGGUCACCCACUGCACUAUUAUGUGACCUUUCAAACCUCUUAGUGCCUAAUUCAUUGUGAUACAUUGCCGUUAUUUUCACUCAUAUUAUCUUCCCCAACGCCCUCUCAGACACUCAAGAAUUACAUAUUUUACUUCAUUCUUGUUCAAACAAACUCAUCACUCAUCAGGUUAAAAGCUAUGGCGAUGAGGGGUUUUGAAAGGCUGAUGGUGAAUUUGAAGUCGAAGCUAAUUAGGUCUAUGAAAAUGAAGAAAACUAAUUAUGACAAGAUUGAGAAGAGUGAAAGCAUGAGAUUUGAAAUCAGGAGCAGAAAGGCUCGAAAGCUCAUUGAAGAAACUCUCAAAAUCGCAGAUUCUCCUAAAACCAGAAGCUAUGCUCUCUGAUGCUAUACAACGGAAAACUCAAGUGCAUAUUUAGUACGCAACAACAUUAGUGUAGAUUGAAUAGUGUAAUAAAGGAGGUUUGGGUUUCAUAACACUGAUUUUGUCGAUUUUAUACUGUUCUUCUUCUUCUUCU